AAGAGUAUUCUUCUUGGCUUGCAGGUCGCCGCUGGAGCCGGACAAGAUCAUGGCUUGCCUUACCUGGUGACAUACUGGCUAGGAAGAGUGCAAGCUGCGGCCCACACGUACCAGAUGGUGUCGUCAAGGAUGUUGUCGUACUGACUGCCGAUGAUCUACAGACAAGCUGAAUGCAGUUGCCGCCACUCAUGUCGCUACAGGAGGAGUGCGCGCAGGGGGAGUGGCGGGUCAAGGUGCUCUCAUCGGCGCCGCUGCUGACCGGCAGAUCCAGGCGCACCCUCUCGGUGCGCGCAGGGGGGUGACAGGCCAAGGUGCGCUCGCCGACGCCACCCACUGACUGGCGGAUCCAGGUGCGCCCACUCUGUGCGUGCAGGGGGGUUGACAGGCCAAGGUGCGCUCGCCGGCGCCACCCACUGACUGGAGAAUCCAGGAGCACCCACUAUGACAACCUCCCGGGCAUGACAUCGCUGGAGAAGGUGAUGGGGGAGCCGCCAACUUGGGCCUGCUGAAGAACGACGACUUUGCAGGAGGGGAUGGAGUCGGGGAAGCUCCUGUGACGGUGGGAGCGGCGGUUCCACAACGAGAUGGUCGUUCGUCACCUCUGAGUUGGAGGAUGGCCAAGGCCAAGAUUGUUUUUCACCACCGAGCUGCGGGGAGGUGCAAAGCAGUAGCAGGACGAACCUUCGCCAUAGCCGGCAGGCUGAGUUUGUACUUGGUAUUAAAGGAUUUGGAGUAGGCUACAUUUGUGAUGACGGGAUUGGUUAUGCAUGAUCUAUUGGCUAAAUCCUUUUGUUUUAUCAUGAGGACAACAAUAGUGGUUACUUCUCAUCCGAGCUUGAGUUGUGGUGAAUUCAACCGAUGUUUCGACCGCAUACGAGAUGUCGUUCUUUUGGUUUAUCAACUAAUAUUAUCAUAUAUGGACGUGAUGCCUGUACAGAGGCGUUUUGAAUCAGUGUGGUAGUAGACUACCUAUCAUUGUUGUAAAUUAUGUGUGAUAACCGUUA
Molecule: long non-coding RNA, 1004 nt
Organism: Triticum aestivum (bread wheat)
Lineage: Eukaryota; Viridiplantae; Streptophyta; Magnoliopsida; Poales; Poaceae
Exons: 5
Source: RefSeq, a predicted model, not a curated record